UGGCGGACGGGUGAGUAACGCGUGGGUAACCUGCCCUGUACAGGGGGAUAACAAUCAGAAAUGACUGCUAAUACCGCAUAAGACCACAGCACCGCAUGGUGCAGGGGUAAAAACUCCGGUGGUACAGGAUGGACCCGCGUCUGAUUAGCUGGUUGGUGAGGUAACGGCUCACCAAGGCGACGAUCAGUAGCCGGCUUGAGAGAGUGAACGGCCACAUUGGGACUGAGACACGGCCCAAACUCCUACGGGAGGCAGCAUG
Molecule: ribosomal RNA, 259 nt
Filed under: uncultured bacterium
Lineage: Bacteria
Description: partial 16S ribosomal RNA
Rfam family: Bacterial small subunit ribosomal RNA
Source: RNAcentral